UGGUCAAGUUAUUAAGGGUGCAGGGCGGAUGCCUUGGCACUAGGAGCCGAUGAAGGACGUGAUAAGCUGCGAUAAGCUUCGGGAGUUGCACGUAAACUUUGAUCCGAAGAUUUCCGAAUGAGGAAACUCACUUAGAGUAAUGUCUAAGUAUCAUUAAGUGAAUACAUAGCUUAAUGAGGGGAACUCAGGGAACUGAAACAUCUAAGUACCUGAAGGAAGAGAAAGAAAUUCGAUUCCGUAAGUAGCGGCGAGCGAACGCGGAUUAGCCCAAACCAAUAAAGUUUUCUUUAUUGGGGUUGCGGACAUAUCAUAACGAAGAGGUAUCGUAAUUGAAGAGGUUUGGAAAGACCCACCACAGAAGGUAAUAGUCCUGUAUGUUAAACGAGAAGACUUUAGAUAUGAUCCAGAGUACCACGGGACACGUGAAACCCUGUGGGAAGCAGGAGGGACCACCCUCCAAGGCUAAAUACUACCUAGUGACCGAUAGCGUAUAGUACCGUGAGGGAAAGGUGAAAAGAACCCCGGGAGGGGAGUGAAAUAGAACCUGAAACCCUGCACUUACAAGCUGUGGAAGCACAUUUCUUGUGUGACCGCGUACUUUUUGUAGAACGGGCCAACGAGUUACGUUAAGUAGCAAGGUUAAGCACUUAAGGUGCGGAGCCGUAGCGAAAGCGAGUUUUAACUGAGCGUUCAGUUACUUGACGUAGACCCGAAACCGGGCGACCUACCCAUGAGCAGGAUGAAGCGAAAGUAAAAUUUCGUGGAGGUCCGAACCCACGAGCGUUGAAAAGCUCGGGGAUGACUUGUGGGUAGCGGUGAAAUUCCAAUCGAGCCCGGAGAUAGCUGGUUCUCCCCGAAAUAGCUUUAGGGCUAGCCUCAAGGUGAGAGAUACGGAGGUAGAGCACUGAAUGUCCUAGGGGGUAUUGCACCUACCGAAGACUAUCAAACUCCGAAUGCCGUCAUCUUAUACUUGGGAGUCAGACUGUGGGUGAUAAGAUUCAUAGUCGAAAGGGCAACAGCCCAGAUCGUCAGCUAAGGUCCCUAAAUGUAAGUUAAGUGGUAAAGGAUGUGGGAUUGCACAGACAACCAGGAUGUUGGCUUAGAAGCAGCCACUCAUUCAAAGAGUGCGUAAUAGCUCACUGGUCGAGUGAUCCUGCGCCGAAGAUUUCCGGGGCUAAAACUUACUACCGAAGCUACGGCAUCAGUAAUGAUGGGUAGGGGAGCUUCCCAUACGGGUUGAAGCAUGACCGUAAGGACAUGUGGACAGUAUGGGUGAGAAUGUUGGCAUGAGUAGCGAGAUGUGGGUGAGAAUCCCACAGGCCGUAAACCCAAGGUUUCCAGGGGAAGGUUCGUCCGCCCUGGGUUAGUCGGGACCUAAGCUGAGGCCGAAAGGCGUAGGUGAUGGACAACAGGUUGAUAUUCCUGUACUACCGAUAACCGUUUGAGAGAAGGGAUGACACAGUAGGAUAAGCUAAGCACACUGUUGGUUAUGUGUGCCCAAGCAUUGAGGCAGUCAAAGCAGGCAAAUCCGCUUUGAUAAUGCUGGGAUGUGAUGGGGAGCGAAAUUUAGUAGCGAAGUAGCUGAUUUCACACUGUCAAGAAAAGUCUCUAUCGAGGUUAAAGGUACCCGUACCGCAAACCGACACAGGUGGGUGAGGAGAGUAUCCUAAGGCCAGCGAGAGAACUGUUGUUAAGGAACUCGGCAAAAUGACCCCGUAACUUAGGGAUAAGGGGUGCCACCAUCCGGUGGCCGCAGAGAAUAGGCCCAAGCGACUGUUUACCAAAAACAUAGGUUUCUGCUAAGUCGCAAGACGAUGUAUAGGAGCUGACGCCUGCCCGGUGCUGGAAGGUUAAGGGGAUCUGUUAGAGCAAUCGAAGCAGUGAACUUAAGCCCAGUAAACGGCGGCCGUAACUAUAACGGUCCUAAGGUAGCGAAAUUCCUUGUCGGGUAAGUUCCGACCCGCACGAAAGGCGUAACGAUUUGGGCACUGUCUCAACAACAGACUCGGUGAAAUUGUAAUUCCGGUGAAGAUGCCGAUACCUGCGACAGGACGGAAAGACCCCAUGGAGCUUUACUGUAGCUUGACAUUGGGUCUUGGUACUACAUGUACAGGAUAGGUGGGAGGCUUUGAAACCAGGACGCCAGUUUUGGCGGAGCCAUCCUUGGGAUACCACCCUUGUAGUACUGGGACUCUAACCAUAGGCCAUGAAUCUGGUCUUGGGACACUGUCAGGUGGGCAGUUUGACUGGGGCGGUCGCCUCCCAAAAGGUAACGGAGGCGCUC
RNAcentral lists this ribosomal RNA (2284 nucleotides) under Clostridioides difficile. RNAcentral's name for it is "partial 23S ribosomal RNA". It matches the Rfam family "Bacterial large subunit ribosomal RNA", at positions 1 to 2311 of the family's 2925-position model. The record is from RNAcentral. Lineage: Bacteria; Bacillati; Bacillota; Clostridia; Peptostreptococcales; Peptostreptococcaceae.